This 655-nucleotide long non-coding RNA is filed under the name Lepidothrix coronata (blue-crowned manakin). RNAcentral describes it as "lncRNA (ENSLCOG00000001167.1)". Lineage: Eukaryota; Metazoa; Chordata; Aves; Passeriformes; Pipridae. The record is from RNAcentral.
CAAAACACAAAGGUCCAGAAGCAGGCUUUGCCUGUGAAGAUAAAGGGAAAAAAGGGAAUGAAUACCACGUAACCAGACAGCCGUAAACCUUCUGCUGCAGACCACUGAUAGGAGUCUAUAGACCACCAGUUUGGGAAACCUCUGCUUUACACUUCUAAAUGAUUCGACAUUUGUUCCCUCUGAUGACACCACGAAUCUGGGAAUGAAGAACUUCUUAGAGCUGAUUGGAAAUGGCAUUACGGAGCUGAAACUUAACUGGAGGAAAUAUAUCUCCUGAAGAAGAAAAUAUAAUGCACUAUAAGGAUCUGACUUCUGGUGAAAAAUUCAAGCCUAGAGAAAACUUGUCCGCUUUGUUAGGAAGAAUGGGUUGGACAAUUUUCUUCAGUUCCAAAGGAUAUCUGAAUGCCAUGCUGAGCUUAAUCUCUGCAGCAUGCUCUGUGCUUCUCAUCUCUUCCUGAUGCACUGCAUGGUUAUCCUGAAGGGGACGAUAAAGAAACUGGCCACCAAGAUGGUAAUCACUAGUGGAAAUGAAGAAGAUAAAGGCAGUCAAGAAAAGGAAAGCAAAGAAGAAACCAUCUUGGCAAUGCUUGGAAUUAUUGGGACAAUUCUGAACCUCAUUGUGAUCAUUUUUGUGUAUAUUUACACAACGUUGUAA